This 491-nucleotide ribosomal RNA is filed under the name uncultured bacterium. RNAcentral describes it as "bacterial SSU rRNA". It matches the Rfam family "Bacterial small subunit ribosomal RNA", at positions 30 to 517 of the family's 1533-position model. The record is from RNAcentral.
AUUGAACGCUGGCGGCAGGCCUAACACAUGCAAGUCGAGCGAGAAAGGUCUUCGGACUGAGUACAGCGGCGGACGGGUGAGUAAAGCGUAGGAAUCUACCUGGUAGUGGGGGAUAACUUGGGGAAACUCAAACUAAUACCGCAUACGCCCUACGGGGGAAAGCGGGGGACCGUUCGGGCCUCGCGCUAUCAGAUGAGCCUGCGUAGGAUUAGCUAGUUGGUGAGGUAAAGGCUCACCAAGGCGACGAUCCUUAGCUGGUCUGAGAGGAUGAUCAGCCACACUGGGACUGAGACACGGCCCAGACUCCUACGGGAGGCAGCAGUGGGGAAUAUUGCGCAAUGGGCGAAAGCCUGACGCAGCCAUGCCGCGUGUGUGAAGAAGGCCUUAGGGUUGUAAAGCACUUUCAAUUGGGAAGAAAGUUGGUCGUUAAUAGCGGCCAGCCCUGACAUUACCUUUAGAAGAAGGACCGGCUAACUCCGUGCCAGCAGCCG